RNAcentral lists this ribosomal RNA (353 nucleotides) under Haloa sp. 3 TRO-2019. RNAcentral's name for it is "partial small subunit ribosomal RNA". Lineage: Eukaryota; Metazoa; Mollusca; Gastropoda; Cephalaspidea; Haminoeidae. The record is from RNAcentral.
ACCCCACUAUUAGCUCUCAAGGAAAACUCUAAGCACUACGGUUUUAAAGUUAAAACUUAAAUAACAUGGCGGCGAGCUUAAAUUUCAGAGGAACCUACCAGGUAAAUGAUAACCCGCAAAAUAUUCUUACUUUACCUAAAAGUUUAUAUAUCGCCGUCUAGUAAUCUUUCAAGAAGGCUACAAAAGGAUGUAUACAAGAAGACAGGCCAUGACAUAGCGUAUGGUAAAGACUUGAGGUGGGUUACAAUAAGAAAUUCUUUCAGAAUUUUGCCUAAAGGCAAAUCCAAGGUGGAUUUGAAAGUAAUAACUAAAAUAAAUAUGUAAUGAAUCUUUCUAAGAUCGUGUACACACCG